Molecule: ribosomal RNA, 232 nt
Filed under: uncultured bacterium
Lineage: Bacteria
Description: partial 16S ribosomal RNA
Rfam family: Bacterial small subunit ribosomal RNA
Source: RNAcentral
CGGACGGGUGAGUAAUGUAUGGGGAUCUGCCUGAUGGCGGGGGAUAACUACUGGAAACGGUAGCUAAUACCGCAUAAUGUCUACGGGCCAAAGCGGGGGACCUCCGGGCCUCGCGCCAUCAGAUGAACCCAUAUGGGAUUAGCUUGUAGGUAAGGUAACGGCUUACCUAGGCGACGAUCCCUAGCUGGUCUGAGAGGAUGAUCAGCCACACUGGGACUGAGACACGGCCCAG